This 440-nucleotide ribosomal RNA is filed under the name uncultured bacterium. RNAcentral describes it as "partial 16S ribosomal RNA". It matches the Rfam family "Bacterial small subunit ribosomal RNA", at positions 338 to 795 of the family's 1533-position model. The record is from RNAcentral.
CCUACGGGAGGCAGCAGUGGGGGAUAUUGCACAAUGGGGGGAACCCUGAUGCAGCGACGCCGCGUGGGUGAAGAAGCGCCUCGGCGCGUAAAGUCCUGUCAGCAGGGACGAAAAUGACGGUACCUGCAGAAGAAGCCCUGGCUACCUACGUGCCAGCAGCCGCGGUAAUACGUCGGGGGCAAGCGUUAUCCGGCUUUACUGGGUGGAAAGGGGGCGCAGACGGCGAGGCAAGCCAGGAGUGAAAGCCCGGGGCCCAACCCCGGGACUGCUCGUGGAACUGCGUGGCUAGAGUGCAGGAGGGGAAGGCGGAAUUCCUGGUGUAGCGGUGAAAUGCGUAGAUAUCAGGAGGAACACCGGUGGCGAAGGCGGCUUGCUGGACUGCAACUGACGUUGAGGCCCGAAAGCGUGGGGAGCAAACAGGAUUAGAUACCCUAGUAGUC